This 400-nucleotide ribosomal RNA is filed under the name uncultured bacterium. RNAcentral describes it as "bacterial SSU rRNA". It matches the Rfam family "Bacterial small subunit ribosomal RNA", at positions 355 to 747 of the family's 1533-position model. The record is from RNAcentral.
UGGGGAAUAUUGGACAAUGGGCGCAAGCCUGAUCCAGCAAUGCCGCGUGUGUGAAGAAGGCCUGCGGGUUGUAAAGCACUUUAAGCAGGAAAGAAGGGGUGAGGGUUAAGACCCCUCAUCAUUGACGUUACCUGCAGAAUAAGCACCGGCUAACUCCGUGCCAGCAGCCGCGGUAAUACGGAGGGUGCGAGCGUUAAUCGGAAUUACUGGGCGUAAAGCGCGCGUAGGCGGUGGGCUAAGUCCGCUGUGAAAGCCCUGGGCUUAACCUGGGAACGGCAGUGGAUACUGGUCGGCUAGAGUGUGGUAGAGGAUGGCGGAAUUUCCGGUGUAGCAGUGAAAUGCGUAGAGAUCGGAAGGAACACCAGUGGCGAAGGCGGCCAUCUGGACCAACACUGACGCU